AGCAGCGUGGCUUAGUGGAAAGAGCACAGGCAUGGGAGUCACAGGACCUGGGUUCUAAUCCCAGCUCUGCCA
Molecule: non-coding RNA, 72 nt
Organism: Ornithorhynchus anatinus (platypus)
Lineage: Eukaryota; Metazoa; Chordata; Mammalia; Monotremata; Ornithorhynchidae
Source: Rfam